UGGCUCAGAACGAACGCUGGCGGCAGGCCUAACACAUGCAAGUCGAGCGCGCCCUUCGGGGUGAGCGGCGGACGGGUUAGUAACGCGUGGGAACGUGCCCUUCUCUAAGGAAUAGCCACUGGAAACGGUGAGUAAUACCUUAUACGCCCUUCGGGGGAAAGAUUUAUCGGAGAAGGAUCGGCCCGCGUUAGAUUAGGUAGUUGGUGGGGUAACGGCCUACCAAGCCUACGAUCUAUAGCUGGUUUUAGAGGAUGAUCAGCAACACUGGGACUGAGACACGGCCCAGACUCCUACGGGAGGCAGCAGUGGGGAAUCUUGGACAAUGGGCGCAAGCCUGAUCCAGCCAUGCCGCGUGAGUGAUGAAGGCCUUAGGGUCGUAAAGCUCUUUCGCCUGUGAUGAUAAUGACAGUAGCAGGAAAGAA
Molecule: ribosomal RNA, 422 nt
Filed under: marine sediment bacterium ISA-7272
Lineage: Bacteria
Description: bacterial SSU rRNA
Rfam family: Bacterial small subunit ribosomal RNA
Source: RNAcentral